CAGCCGCCACGGGAAUACGAGGGGGGCAAGCGUUGUUCGGAAUUAUUGGGCGUAAAGGGUGCGUAGGCGGUUUGGCAAGUUUGGUGUGAAAUCUUCGGGCUCAACUCGAAGUCUGCAUCGAAAACUGCCGGGCUUGAGUAUGGGAGAGGUGAGUGGAAUUUCCGGUGUAGCGGUGAAAUGCGUAGAUAUCGGAAGGAACACCUGUGGCGAAAGCGGCUCACUGGACCAUAACUGACGCUGAUGCACGAAAGCUAGGGGAGCAAACAGGAUUAGAUACCCCCGUAGUCCCUGUCUCUUAUAC
Molecule: ribosomal RNA, 301 nt
Filed under: uncultured bacterium
Lineage: Bacteria
Description: partial 16S ribosomal RNA
Rfam family: Bacterial small subunit ribosomal RNA
Source: RNAcentral